This is a non-coding RNA of Escherichia coli ISC11, 359 nucleotides long. The record is from Rfam. NCBI's taxonomy places the organism in Bacteria, Pseudomonadati, Pseudomonadota, Gammaproteobacteria, Enterobacterales, Enterobacteriaceae.
GAGUCGCACAACGAAGAGAACAUCAGGAUGAUGGCUCUUCACCUGGACACACCAGGAUGGUGUUGCAAGGACAGGCUUCAGGACGAAGCAAAGAGGAAGACGCUGGAUGCGUUAAAGGACACCUCCAGGACGGAGAAUGAGAGCCGGUCAGGAUGUUCGGCGGGUCUGGAUGGCCAGGAUACUUCAGGAUGAAGUUUUCACAUCGGGGUGAUGUGAGCAGGAUGCAAAAGUUCAGGAUGAACACGGUCGCAAGACCACAGGAAAAGUUGUCACGGAUGAGCAGGGAGCACUAAAAGUAGCUGGAAUGCUGCGAAACGAACCGGGAGCACUGUUUUUUUACAGUGCUCCCUUUUUUUAUU